GUGCUCAAUUCUGUAGCGCGCACACUAAAAUUGGAAGGAUAAAGAGAUCAGCAUGGCCCCUGCACAAGGAUGACGUGAAUUCCUGAAGCAUUCCAUAUUUUU
Hippopotamus amphibius kiboko is the source of this 102-nucleotide small nuclear RNA. Lineage: Eukaryota; Metazoa; Chordata; Mammalia; Artiodactyla; Hippopotamidae. The record is from RefSeq and is a predicted model, not a curated record.